UUGGCAUUGUCUGUCCAUGUGCUGAUC
Molecule: non-coding RNA, 27 nt
Filed under: Homo sapiens (human)
Lineage: Eukaryota; Metazoa; Chordata; Mammalia; Primates; Hominidae
Source: RNAcentral